CAUGGUUGUGAUUAAGAGUAUUAGGGGUGGGGCUUAUUUUGUGAUUGACAGCACUGGACGAAGAGGCGGAGGAGGCUCAUUUUAUUUGAUGUGACUAGAGGAGGAGUUUCAGUGGUGAUUGACAGCACUGGAGGAGGAGUUUCAGUUUUAAUUGCUGUGACUGGAGUAGGAGCUUCACAAAAUGGCUGUCAUGAUUUAG
Molecule: long non-coding RNA, 199 nt
Organism: Erpetoichthys calabaricus (reedfish)
Lineage: Eukaryota; Metazoa; Chordata; Cladistia; Polypteriformes; Polypteridae
Exons: 2
Source: RefSeq, a predicted model, not a curated record